This 2053-nucleotide unclassified non-coding RNA is filed under the name Hevea brasiliensis (rubber tree). Lineage: Eukaryota; Viridiplantae; Streptophyta; Magnoliopsida; Malpighiales; Euphorbiaceae. The record is from RNAcentral.
CAGAUCUCUCUUUCACUUCUUCCUCUGACUGCUCUUAUCCAUGGCUUCUAUUUACCAUUCUGCCAUUCUUCUCUUCUGUUUUAUCCACCCUCUGCUCGCUGCUUUAGUUCAAGAGCAACCCCUGGUGCUCAAGUACCACAACGGUGUUCUCUUAAAGGGAAACGUCACCGUUAAUUUAGUCUGGUACGGAAAGUUUACUCCUAUUCAACGCUCCAUAAUCGUUGAUUUCAUCACCUCUUUGAACUCCAACAGAGCGCCACUUCCCUCCGCCGCCUUUUGGUGGAAGACCACCGAGAAGUACCGUGGUGGUUCUUGCUCUCUUAGAGUCGGUCGUCAAAUCCUACACGAAGAGUACACUCUUGGAAAAGUCCUUAAGACUACGCAUUUACUUGCUUUGGCCUCGAAAACAAACUUCGCGAUCGAUUCCAUUAACGUUGUUUUGACGGCGAAGGACGUCGCUGUUGAUGGAUUUUGCAUGAGCAGGUGCGGCACUCACGGGUCUUCUCGCGGGCCGGCUCGGGGUACCUACAUCUGGGUUGGAAACUCGGAGACUCAAUGUCCAGGUCAAUGCGCCUGGCCUUUCCACCAGCCUAUUUAUGGCCCACAGACUCCACCGUUGGUGGCGCCUAACGGAGACGUUGGAGUUGACGGUAUGAUCAUAAACUUGGCUACUCUCUUGGCGAACACCGUCACCAAUCCUUUUAAUAGCGGUUACUUUCAAGGCCCACCCACUGCCCCUCUCGAGGCCGUAUCCGCUUGCACGGGUAUAUUUGGGUCGGGGUCUUACCCGGGAUAUCCGGGUCGGCUAUUGGUGGACAAGGCCACGGGGGCAAGCUACAACGCCCACGGUGUCAAUGGACGCAAGUACCUGUUACCGGCUAUGUGGGACCCGCAAACAAGUGCAUGCAAAACGCUUGUGUGAUGAAGACACCUGGCAAUAGGGGUUGUAAACGUGGCGGAAAUCUGUGCGGUGUAAUGUAGAUAUAUGGGGGAGGUCUGAUGGUGGGAGGGUGGGAAGGAUGUGGAAUAUAGUAUCUUUUUGGGUUUUUUUUUUAUGUUGUUUUGAACUUGUACUGUGUACGCUCGAUGGCUUGUCGCUUUGCGUGACGUGUAAAGUGAAAUUACCAAAAAGGAAAUGGGUAAAAAAUUAAUAAAAAAUAAUUAAAAAGUUGAGAAUGAGAUUAGGCAAUGGAGGAUUUGUGUUGUGCUGGGGGCGGGGAGACCAUCACCGCUUGCUUUAGUUUAGUGAAAUGGGAAGGUCAGAGGUGCAUCGCAUCAUGAAAUGGUGGGGACCAUCUGGCCCAUCAGCAAUCAUGGCUUGAGGAUAAGAAUAAGACCAUCCAUUAUUUCUCGUGAAUAUGCUCGUGAAUCUUCCUUUGGAAGCAGAAGCCAUCGCACAAUUUGAGAUAUUUUUUUUCAUGCUCAAGUAAUGAUUGUAAAAAGAAAUUAAAAAUAAAAUUCAUGCAGUCCAUGGUCUAAUCUUCUGAAGCCUUGUGUUGGUCCUGUUAAGCUCUGAAACGUUGCUAGUGCAUGAGCCUCCCACUUCCACACACUGCUAGUGCAAGAACUUGGUAGGCUUGCCAAAUUCUCAGGACGAUACUUCCUAGAAUCAGGGUGUUAGAAGAUGGAUAAGGCGAUAUUGCAAGCAUUUAAACUUAUCAUACGGUUUUAUCAUGCUAGUGCUCUGUUUUCACAGCAACAAAAACAGCAUUGUGCCAAGAUUCCCAGUCUUCACGAUCAAAACCAACGGUACCAAAAACCGGAACGGGCGCCUAUGCCUUGAUACAAUAAUCAACAUACAGCAGUGAAGGAAACUUUCAAACUUAAGCUCAAGCAAGAAUAUGUUAUAGAAAGCAUUGUCUGUCGAAAUCAUAAGUUGUUUUGUCUGCUUAAUUCUCACACAUGCCACCACACUAAUACAAGGGGCAAAACUUCGCCUUUGCUCAUUGAUUUACCCAAAACAUUAUGAUCCAUGAUAACAAAAGAGAAACUAAUAAUUUUGCUGGAUCUGUCUAUCUGGAUUCAGCCAUAGGGGCUGUAACGCAUAGGCAUU